This is a small nuclear RNA of Monodelphis domestica (gray short-tailed opossum), 147 nucleotides long. Its record names the gene U2. It matches the Rfam family "U2 spliceosomal RNA". Rfam says of the family: U2 is a small nuclear RNA (snRNA) component of the spliceosome (involved in pre-mRNA splicing). Complementary binding between U2 snRNA (in an area lying towards the 5' end but 3' to hairpin I) and the branchpoint sequence (BPS) of the intron results the bulging out of an unpaired adenosine, on the BPS, which initiates a nucleophilic attack at the intronic 5' splice site, thus starting the first of two transesterification reactions that mediate splicing. Lineage: Eukaryota; Metazoa; Chordata; Mammalia; Didelphimorphia; Didelphidae. The record is from Ensembl.
AUCGCUUCUUGGCCUUUUGGCUAAGAUCAAAUGUAGUAUGAUUCCAAACUUCUAAAAUAUAUUGUCUGUUUAGUCUAUUAUUUUAGGGUUCUAGAGAACAGUGAAGCUAUAGUUCUCUAUUCAUUAAAGAAUUCUAGUUCACAAUAC